Molecule: ribosomal RNA, 403 nt
Filed under: bacterium Ellin5053
Lineage: Bacteria; Pseudomonadati; Pseudomonadota; Alphaproteobacteria; Hyphomicrobiales; Nitrobacteraceae
Description: bacterial SSU rRNA
Rfam family: Bacterial small subunit ribosomal RNA
Source: RNAcentral
AGCGAACGCUGGCGGCAGGCUUAACACAUGCAAGUCGAGCGGAUGUAGCAAUACAUCAGCGGCAGACGGGUGAGUAACGCGUGGGAACAUACCUUUUGGUUCGGAACAACACAGGGAAACUUGUGCUAAUACCGGAUAAGCCCUUACGGGGAAAGAUUUAUCGCCGAAAGAUUGGCCCGCGUCUGAUUAGCUAGUUGGUGAGGUAACGGCUCACCAAGGCGACGAUCAGUAGCUGGUCUGAGAGGAUGAUCAGCCACAUUGGGACUGAGACACGGCCCAAACUCCUACGGGAGGCAGCAGUGGGGAAUAUUGGACAAUGGGCGCAAGCCUGAUCCAGCCAUGCCGCGUGAGUGAUGAAGGCCCUAGGGUUGUAAAGCUCUUUUGUGCGGGAAGAUAAUCCGGU